GGGGAAUUUUCCGCAAUGGGCGAAAGCCUGACGGAGCAAUACCGCGUGAGGGAUGAAGGCCUAUGGGUUGUAAACCUCUUUUUUCAGGGAGGAAUCAAUGACGUGUACUUGAAGAAUAAGCAUCGGCUAACUCCGUGCCAGCAGCCGCGGUAAGACGGAGGAUGCAAGUGUUAUCCGGAAUCACUGGGCGUAAAGCGUCUGUAGGUGGUCAAAUAAGUCAACUGUUAAAUCUUGAGGCUCAACCUCAAAAUCGCAGUCGAAACUAUUAGACUAGAGUAUAGUAGGGGUAAAGGGAAUUUCCAGUGGAGCGGUGAAAUGCGUAGAUAUUGGAAGGAACACCGAUGGCGAAGGCACUUUACUGGGCUAUUACUGACACUCAGAGACGAAAGCUAGGGUAGCAAAUGGGAUUAGAUACCCCAGUAGUC
This 425-nucleotide ribosomal RNA is filed under the name uncultured cyanobacterium. RNAcentral describes it as "bacterial SSU rRNA". It matches the Rfam family "Bacterial small subunit ribosomal RNA", at positions 356 to 795 of the family's 1533-position model. Lineage: Bacteria; Bacillati; Cyanobacteriota. The record is from RNAcentral.